RNAcentral lists this ribosomal RNA (377 nucleotides) under uncultured bacterium. Its description in RNAcentral is "bacterial SSU rRNA". It matches the Rfam family "Bacterial small subunit ribosomal RNA", at positions 521 to 895 of the family's 1533-position model. The record is from RNAcentral.
UAAGACAGAGGGUGCGAACGUUGCUCGGAAUUACUGGGCGUAAAGCGUGUGUAGGCGGCCACGCAAGUCGGAUGUGAAAGCCCUGGGCUCAACCCAGGAAGUGCACCCGAUACUGCGACGGCUCGAGUACCGGAGAGGUUGGUGGAAUUCUCGGUGUAGAGGUGAAAUUCGUAGAUAUCGAGAGGAACACCGGUGGCGAAGGCGGCCAACUGGACGAGUACUGACGCUGAGACACGAAAGCGUGGGGAGCAAACAGGAUUAGAUACCCUGGUAGUCCACGCCGUAAACGAUGGAUGCUAGGUGUCGCGGGCUUUGACUCCUGCGGUGCCGUAGCCAACGCAUUAAGCAUCCCGCCUGGGAAGUACGGCCGCAAGGCU